RNAcentral lists this unclassified non-coding RNA (221 nucleotides) under uncultured Tomentella. RNAcentral describes it as "sequence contains ITS2". Lineage: Eukaryota; Fungi; Basidiomycota; Agaricomycetes; Thelephorales; Thelephoraceae. The record is from RNAcentral.
ACAUCUCAACUCCUCACGGUUCGCCCGUGAUGAGCUUGGACUUUGGGGGUCUUGCUGGCCUGUGGGUCGGCUCCUCUCAAAUGAAUUAGCUUGCCAGUGUUUGGUGGCGUCACAGGUGUGAUAACUAUCUACGCUUGUGGUUUUCCACCAGGUAACCUCCAGCAAUGGGGGUUCACUGGAGCUCACAAAUGUCUCUCCUCGGUGAGGACAGCUCUUUGAAC